RNAcentral lists this transfer RNA (118 nucleotides) under Helianthus annuus (common sunflower). RNAcentral's name for it is "sRNA HanXRQr2_Chr07g0286221". The stretch from base 2 to 74 matches the Rfam family "tRNA". From Rfam's summary of the family: Transfer RNA (tRNA) molecules are approximately 80 nucleotides in length. Lineage: Eukaryota; Viridiplantae; Streptophyta; Magnoliopsida; Asterales; Asteraceae. The record is from RNAcentral.
GGGGUGUAUAGCUCAGUUGGUAGAGCAUUGGGCUUUUAACCUAAUGGUCGCAGGUUCAAGUCCUGCUAUACCCAAACCUAACUUGCACUAUACUAUGAGUAAGGAUGCGUAGUAGCGC